This 452-nucleotide ribosomal RNA is filed under the name uncultured bacterium. RNAcentral describes it as "bacterial SSU rRNA". It matches the Rfam family "Bacterial small subunit ribosomal RNA", at positions 340 to 786 of the family's 1533-position model. The record is from RNAcentral.
UACGGGAGGCAGCAGUGGGGAAUAUUGCACAAUGGGCGCAAGCCUGAUGCAGCCAUGCCGCGUGUAUGAAGAAGGCCUUCGGGUUGUAAAGUACUUUCAGUCGUGAGGAAGGUGUUAAGGUUAAUAACCUUAGCAAUUGACGUUAGCGACAGAAGAAGCACCGGCUAACUCCGUGCCAGCAGCCGCGGUAAUACGGAGGGUGCGAGCGUUAAUCGGAAUUACUGGGCGUAAAGGGCACGCAGGCGGUUAAUUAAGUUGGAUGUGAAAUCCCCGGGCUUAACCUGGGAAUGGCAUUCAAGACUGGUUAGCUAGAGUCUUGUAGAGGGGGUAGAAUUCCAUGUGUAGCGGUGAAAUGCGUAGAGAUGUGGAGGAAUCCGGUGGCGAAGGCGGCCCCUGGGACAAGACUGACGCUCAUGUGCGAAAGCGUGGGGAGCAAACAGGGAUUAGAUACC